GCCCCCAGCUUUGGCUCCUUAGGGGUCAGGUGGGCGGCCCCCGGCUUUGGCUGCUUAGGGGUCAGGUGGGCGGCCCCCGGCUUUGGCUCCUUAGGGGCCAGGUGGGCGGCCCCCGGCUUUGGCUCCGUAGGGGCCAGGUGGGCGGCCCCCGGCUUUGGCUCCUUAGGGGUCAGGUGGGCGGCCCCCGGCUUUGGCUCCUUAGGGGCCAGGUGGGCGGCCCCCGGCUUUGGCUCCUUAGGGGUCAGGUGGGCGACCCCCGGCUAUGGCUCCUUAGGGGUCAGGUGGGCGGCCCCCGGCUUUGGCUCCUUAGGGGCCAGCUGGGCGGCCCCCGGCUUUGGCUCCUUAGGGGUCAGGUGGGCGGCCCUCGGCUUUGGCUCCUUAGGGGCCAGGUGGGCGGCCCCCGGCUUUGGCUCCUUAGGGGUCAGGUGGGCGACCCCCGGCUUUGGCUCCUUAGGGGUCAGGUGGGUGGCCCCGGCUCUGGCUCCUUAGGGGUCAGGUGGGCGGCCCCCGGCUUUGGCUCCUUAGGGGCCAGGUGGGCGGCCCCCGGCUUUGGCUCCUUAGGGGUCAGGUGGGGCGACCCCCGGCUUUGGCUCCUUAGGGGUCAUGUGGGCGGCCCCCGGCUUUGGCUCCUUAGGUGUCAGGUGGGCGGCCCCCGGCUUUGGCUCCUUAGGGGCCAGGUGGGCGGCCCCCGGCUUUGGCUCCUUAGGGGUCAGGUGGGCGGCCCCCGGCUUUGGCUCCUUAGGGGCCAGGUGGGCGGCCCCCGGCUUUGGCUCCUUAGGGGUCAGUUGGGCGACCCCCGGCUUUGGCUCCUUAGGGGCCAGGUGGGCGGCCCCCGGCUUUGGCUCCUUAGGGGUCAGUUGGGCGACCCCCGGCUUUGGCUCCUUAGGGGUCAGGUGGGCGGCCCCCGGCUUGGCUCCUUAGGGGCCAGGUGGGCGGCUCUCGGCUUUGACUCCUUAGGAGCCAGGUGGGCGGUCUCGGCUUUGGCUCCUUAGGCGCCAGGUGGGCGGUUCUCGGCUUUGACUCCUUAGGGGCCAGGUGGGCAGCCCCGGGGGAUUGGGCAUUUGGACGUCGUCAGGGGGACACCGCGAGGGUUGAGUUGCAGGUGGGUCAUCUCCGGAGUUUUUUCUCCCAAAGAAUAUCGAAUGACAUUGCUGUAAUUCGUACCCCGUUGCCCGAGGUCAAUGAUUCGCCUUCAAAUGCCCGGGUAUGCAAAAGGACUGCCGUGACGCACAAAUAGUGGUAUCAGAAUUUUGCAUUAAGUUUACGGAAUGAUUUGAAGGCGCUCUUCUGUAUUCAUUGUGAGUGGCUUUGUACAAUGAUGUUGACCAAAAAGUUUAUAAUUUUGGGUUUUAGCCUGGUUUUAGUCGAG
RNAcentral lists this long non-coding RNA (1369 nucleotides) under Bemisia tabaci. Its description in RNAcentral is "lncRNA ENSSSA1UGG002825". Lineage: Eukaryota; Metazoa; Arthropoda; Insecta; Hemiptera; Aleyrodidae. The record is from RNAcentral.